GGUAGUUGGUCUGAGAGGAUGAUCAGCAACACUGGGAUUGAGACACUGCCCAGACUCCUACGGGAGGCUGCAGUCGAGAAUCAUUGACAAUGCAUGAAAGUGUGAUCAUGCGACGCCGCGUGGAGGAAGACGGCCUUUGGGUUGUAAACUCCUGUCAGCAGGGAGGAAGGAUGGAUCUCUUAAUACGAGGUUCAUUUGACAGUACCUGCAGAGGAAGUCACGGCUAACUCUGUGCCAGCAGCCGCGGUAAUACAGAGGUGGCGAACGUUGUUCGGAUUUACUGGGCGUAAAGGGUCCGCAGGCGGCUCGGUGUGUCAGAUGUGAAAGUCCACGGCUCAACCGUGGAAUUGCAUUUGAAACUGCCGGGCUAGAGUACUGGAGGGGAGAAGGGAACACUUGGUGUAGCGGUGAAAUGCGUAGAUAUCAAGUGGAACACCGGUGGCGAAGGCGCUUCUCUGGACAGAUACUGACGCUCAUGGACGAAAGUUAGAGUAGCGAAAGGGAUUAGAUACCCCUGUAGUCCUAACCAUAAACGGUGUGCACUAGACGUGGGAGGCUUUACCCCCUUCCGUGUCUGAGCUAACGCAUUAAGUGCACCGCCUGGGGAGUACGGUCGCAAGAUUAAAACUCAAAGGAAUUGACGGGGACCCGCACAAGCGGUGGAGCAUGUGGCUUAAUUCGAUGCAACGCGAAGAACCUUACCUGGGCUUGACAUAUAGCUGCAUACGACCCGAAAGGGACGUAGCCUUCGAGGGUGCUAUACAGGUGCUGCAUGGCUGUCGUCAGCUCGUGCCGUGAGGUGUUGGGUUAAGUCCCGCAACGAGCGCAACCCCUGUGUUUAGUUGCCAGCACGUAAUGGUGGGAACUCUAAACAGACUGCUGGUGAAAACCAGAGGAAGGUGGGGAUGACGUCAAGUCAGUAUGGUCCCUAUGCCCAGGGCUGCACACGUGCUACAAUGGGUGAUACAAUGGGAGGCUAAGCCGCGAGGUGGAGCAAAUCCUCAAAAUCACCCCCAGUUCGGAUUGGAGUCUGAAACUCGACUCCAUGAAGUUGGAAUCGCUAGUAAAGGCGUAUCAGCUACGACGCCUUGAAUACGUUCCCGGGUCUUGUACACACCGCCCGUCACAUCAUGGAAGUCUGUUGCACCCGAAGUUGUUGAUCCAACCUUUUAUUAGGAGGAAGGCACCUAAGGUGUGAUAGGUAACUGGGAUGAAGUCGAAACAAGGUA
Molecule: ribosomal RNA, 1229 nt
Filed under: metagenome
Description: bacterial SSU rRNA
Rfam family: Bacterial small subunit ribosomal RNA
Source: RNAcentral